Molecule: ribosomal RNA, 429 nt
Filed under: Gemmatimonadota bacterium
Lineage: Bacteria; Pseudomonadati; Gemmatimonadota
Description: Gemmatimonadetes bacterium partial 16S ribosomal RNA
Rfam family: Bacterial small subunit ribosomal RNA
Source: RNAcentral
UAGGGAAUCUUCGGCAAUGGACGAAAGUCUGACCGAGCAACGCCGCGUGAGUGAAGAAGGUUUUCGGAUCGUAAAACUCUGUUGUUAGAGAAGAACAAGGACGUUAGUAACUGAACGUCCCCUGACGGUAUCUAACCAGAAAGCCACGGCUAACUACGUGCCAGCAGCCGCGGUAAUACGUAGGUGGCAAGCGUUGUCCGGAUUUAUUGGGCGUAAAGCGAGCGCAGGCGGUUUCUUAAGUCUGAUGUGAAAGCCCCCGGCUCAACCGGGGAGGGUGAUUGGAAACUGGGAGACUGGAGUGCAGAAGAGGAGAGUGGAAUUCCAUGUGUAGCGGUGAAAUGCGUAGAUAUAUGGAGGAACACCAGUGGCGAAGGCGGCUCUCUGGUCUGUAACUGACGCUGAGGCUCGAAAGCGUGGGGAGCAAACAGG